This is a long non-coding RNA of Centruroides sculpturatus (bark scorpion), 507 nucleotides long. RefSeq lists it as uncharacterized. The record is from RefSeq and is a predicted model, not a curated record. NCBI's taxonomy places the organism in Eukaryota, Metazoa, Arthropoda, Arachnida, Scorpiones, Buthidae. The transcript has 4 exons.
UAAAGAAACAAAAUAAUGAAAAAUAUGUAAUAAUUAAUAUACAUCUGAGGAAUAUGGAGGAUAUAGGAAGAAAGCCAGUAUUAUUUUAAUUAGAAUUAUAUGGUCAUUAAAGUUGGAUUAAUCAUUAAGCUGCUUAAGGUCACUUAAAGAGAUGGACAGGUUAGAUAAUUUUUUAUUUGUGACCAUUGCUGAUGCUUCGGAUAUUUCCUUCAGAUAUGAAGAUCUAAAAAGUUUAGUUUAUGAAAAACAUAUGAAAAAUGGCUAUAUAUAAGAAAACGAUAAAAUUUAUUUUGUUAACGACUUGGUCUUGUGUAAUUGGAAAAUGUAAUUUUGUUUAUUAGACAUGAAAGUAUUUAAAGAAAGAAUUCGAUUUUUACAUAUCAAAUGGCCAGACUAUUCUAACAGUUGUUAUGUUAAAUAGUGCAAAACACUUUUUGAUGAUGCAAAUAAUAAAUUAUGGUAUUUUGUACAUGUAAAGUCUCUGUCGAACAUAACUGAUGCAGGGGA